Molecule: ribosomal RNA, 429 nt
Filed under: Actinomycetes bacterium
Lineage: Bacteria; Bacillati; Actinomycetota; Actinomycetes
Description: Actinobacteria bacterium partial 16S ribosomal RNA
Rfam family: Bacterial small subunit ribosomal RNA
Source: RNAcentral
UAGGGAAUCUUCCGCAAUGGGCGAAAGCCUGACGGAGCAACGCCGCGUGAGUGAUGAAGGUCUUCGGAUCGUAAAACUCUGUUAUUAGGGAAGAACCAAUGUGUAAGUAACUAUGCACGUCUUGACGGUACCUAAUCAGAAAGCCACGGCUAACUACGUGCCAGCAGCCGCGGUAAUACGUAGGUGGCAAGCGUUAUCCGGCAUUAUUGGGCGUAAAGCGCGCGUAGGCGGUUUUUUAAGUCUGGUGUGAAAGCCCACGGCUCAACCGUGGAGGGUCAUUGGAACGUGGAAAACUUGAGUGCAGAAGAGGAAAGUGGAAUUCCAUGUGUAGCGCUGAAAUGCGCAGAGAUAUGGAGGAACACCAGUGGCGAAGGCGACUUUCUGGUCUGUAACUGACGCUGAUGUGCGAAAGCGUGGGGAUCAAACAGG